RNAcentral lists this ribosomal RNA (430 nucleotides) under uncultured bacterium. Its description in RNAcentral is "bacterial SSU rRNA". It matches the Rfam family "Bacterial small subunit ribosomal RNA", at positions 355 to 776 of the family's 1533-position model. The record is from RNAcentral.
UGGGGAAUUGUUCGCAAUGGGCGCAAGCCUGACGACGCAACGCCGCGUGGAGGAUGAAGAUCUUCGGGUCGUAAACUCCUGUCGAAUGGGACGAACGGGUUGUGGGUUAACAGCCCGCAACCGUGACGGUACCGUUAAAGGAAACCCCGGCUAACUCCGUGCCAGCAGCCGCGGUAAUACGGGGGGGGUAAGCGUUGUUCGGAAUUACUGGGCGUAAAGGGCUCGUAGGCGGCCAACUAAGUCAUACGUGAAAUCCCUCAGCUUAACUGGGGAACUGCGUGUGAUACUGGAUGGCUUGGAUUUGGGAGAGGGAUGCGGAAUUCCAGGUGUAGCGGUGAAAUGCGUAGAUAUCUGGAGGAACACCGGUGGCGAAGGCGGCAUCCUGGACCAAUAUUGACGCUGAGGAGCGAAAGCCAGGGGAGCAAACGGG